RNAcentral lists this long non-coding RNA (1600 nucleotides) under Homo sapiens (human). RNAcentral describes it as "LHRI_LNC1086.1". Lineage: Eukaryota; Metazoa; Chordata; Mammalia; Primates; Hominidae. The record is from RNAcentral.
GCGCUUUUCCCCUUGAGGCCCCGCCCCCAGUACGUCUGAAUACGUCACGUCCUGGCUCGAGAACCUGGGAAAGGACUGGGUGGCUGAAAGAUGGCUGGAAAGCGCAUUUAGCCAACCGAGCCUGCGCAUGGAACCUGCGGCGCUGCACAGCUGCAUAGAGAUGUGGAGCACCUCCCUUUACCGUAGAAAGUAGGCGAGCCAGCUCGAGGCACUAUACUGAGGAAGCGCUGCGGCCUACUUCCGCCGUUUUUCUUAACAUCAAAGAAACUUCCGGUAGUGGGGUGUCUUGCAUUCCACCGUGUCGGUGCCCCAGAAUGAGACGCAAGCUGAUCUGCAGAUCCCGCAGGGUGCCUUCUGCUCUUUUCGGGGCAGGUUGGCCGGUAGGGGAGAAGGCCGCCAUUGGAACGCGGCCUUUAUGUCGGGUUCUCUCAAGAGUCUAAGAUCGCACCCUCACCAGCGGAGGGAAGGAGCCCACUCCCAGCCACACCGCUUUGUUUUCUUUCGCUUAGCCUUGUUGCGCCGUUCUCUAAGCCACUCAUGUCCUUAGAUCAGAUUGAGGGGCCCGCAGGAUUUAAGCCUUUAAUCCACAGCACAUUCCAAGCACCUACCCGGUGGUAGGCCCUAACAAGGAACACAGGCAAGUGACACGCUGCCUGGCCUGAAAGGUCCGCUCAGACCUUUACAUGAAGUUAAUAAAUGUUAAGCUUCAGGGCCCCUCGCUUGUAUGGCCUCCUGGGAGAAUAGAUAGUUGCUGAGUUGUGGAGAGGGGAAGCCAGCUUGAGAUUAGGAAGCAAAUCUAUGUAAGCAUUUCUAAUAAAUUACCCAGAGAGAUCUAAGGAGAAUCUGAAUCUCCAAGUCUCUAGUAAUGUGUUGUGAUUUGUCGUUUUAAUUAUUUGUUUUGUGUAUUUGUAGGGCCCCCCAAUGGUAUAUAAGUUUCACCUCUGCAAAACCUGGAUCAUCCCCAUCAUGAGGGUGGCUAAACAAGUAAAGGUGACCCCAGUACAGAAUGGCGAGUGCUAUAUGCACAGAAUGGUGGAGACUAGGACAACUUCCCAGAAAAGGAAAAGGCUGUGUUCAAGUUUGGAAAACUAGCAAUAGAGACCAUAGUUUAAGGACUAAAAAGAAAUUCUCCGUUGCUGGAGGGUACAUCAUGAGUUGAAGGUCUCAAGGCUAGAGUACCUGCCCUUCAGCCAUUUUAAAAGUGAAUGAGCAAAGAAGAAAUUACAUUGCCCUGGUAUGCCCUUCCCUUUAAAUACCUGCAUUUCCUGCCACCUCCGGAGGUACUUCACUCUAUAGGAGCAACCCCAAACCCGGGUUGAUUACCAUUAAAACUUGCAAAUGGCCACACUGUUCUCACAUUUUGCCUAACUAAAACCUGUUAAUUCUUCAAAGACAAGUACCAGGUGCUACCUGUAAAAGGGUACUGGGAAUAAAAAGAGUAGAGGCAGCCAGGAACAGCCUUUGGAAAAACGAGAGCAGGGACAUAUUUGUACAUUGUAUACCCAUGUUCAUAGUAGUUUAUUCACGGUAGCUAAAAGGAGGAAACAAUCCACAUGUCCAUUGACAGAUGAAUGAGUUUUCUAAAUUUAGUGUAUACGCG